AAAAUGCGAUAAGUAAUGUGAAUUGCAGAAUUCAGUGAAUCAUCGAAUCUUUGAACGCACAUUGCGCCCGCCAGUAUUCUGGCGGGCAUGCCUGUUCGAGCGUCAUUUCAACCCUCAAGCCCCCGGGUUUGGUGUUGGGUGUUUGUCCCCGUCUCCGCGCGUGGACUCGCCCCAAAGUGAUUGGCAGCCGGCGUACUGGUCCCGGAGCGCAGCACAUGUCGCGCAAACGAGUGCCUUGGUACGGCGGCGUCCAUAAGCCCCUCUCUCACGCUCUUGACCUCGGAUCAGGUAGGGAUACCCGCUGAACUUAAGC
This 313-nucleotide unclassified non-coding RNA is filed under the name plant metagenome. Its description in RNAcentral is "partial contains 5.8S ribosomal RNA, internal transcribed spacer 2, and large subunit ribosomal RNA". The stretch from base 1 to 105 matches the Rfam family "5.8S ribosomal RNA", at positions 50 to 154 of the family's 154-position model. The record is from RNAcentral.